UGAGGGAUAUUGGUCAAUGGGCGCAAGCCUGAACCAGCGACGCCGCGUGGGUGAAGAAGGUCUUCGGAUCGUAAAGCCCUUUUCCCACUGAAGAGGAAGGACGGUAGGUGGGGAAGAAGUCUCGGCUAACUACGUGCCAGCAGCCGCGGUAAAACGUAGGAGACAAGCGUUAUCCGGAGUUACUGGGCGUAAAGGGCGUGCAGGUGGCGUCUUAAGUCUGUUGUGAAAGCGCCUGGCUUAACCGGGCGAGGCCAAUGGAGACUGAGAGCCUGGAGGACGGCGGAGGGGUGUGGAAUUCCGGGUGUAGUGGUGAAAUGCGUAGAGAUCCGGAGGAACACCAGAGGCGAAGGCGGCACUCUAAGCCGUACCUGACACUGAGACGCGACAGCACGGGGAGCAAACG
Molecule: ribosomal RNA, 403 nt
Filed under: uncultured bacterium
Lineage: Bacteria
Description: bacterial SSU rRNA
Rfam family: Bacterial small subunit ribosomal RNA
Source: RNAcentral